AUUGAACGCUGGCGGAAUGCUUUACACAUGCAAGUCGAACGGCAGCAUAGGUGCUUGCACCUGAUGGCGAGUGGCGAACGGGUGAGUAAUAUAUCGGAACGUGCCCAGUCGUGGGGGAUAACGUAGUGAGAAUUACGCUAAUACCGCAUACGAUCUAAGGAUGAAAGCGGGGGAUCGCAUGACCUCGCGCGAUUGGAGCGGCCGCUAUCAGAUUAGGUAGUUGGUGAGGUAAAGGCUCCCCAAGCCAACGAUAUGUAGCUGGUCUGAGAGGACGACCAGCCACACUGGAACUGAGACACGGUCCAGACUCCUACGGGAGGCAGCAGUGGGGAAUUUUGGACAAUGGACGCAAGUCUGAUCCAGCCAUUCCGCGUGCAGGACGAAGGCCUUCGGGUUGUAAACUGCUUUUGUACAGAACGAAAAGGUCUCUAUUAAUACUAGGGGCUCAUGACGGUACUGUAAGAAUAAGCACCGGCUAACUACGUGCCAGCCGCCGCGGUAA
RNAcentral lists this ribosomal RNA (502 nucleotides) under uncultured bacterium. RNAcentral describes it as "partial 16S ribosomal RNA". It matches the Rfam family "Bacterial small subunit ribosomal RNA", at positions 30 to 523 of the family's 1533-position model. The record is from RNAcentral.